RNAcentral lists this ribosomal RNA (510 nucleotides) under Gyptis hians. Its description in RNAcentral is "partial 16S ribosomal RNA". It matches the Rfam family "Bacterial large subunit ribosomal RNA", at positions 1819 to 2602 of the family's 2925-position model. Lineage: Eukaryota; Metazoa; Annelida; Polychaeta; Phyllodocida; Hesionidae. The record is from RNAcentral.
UGCUUUAUGUUUCCCAUGUAAAGUACGCCUGCCCGGUGAGUUGCGGCUUAAACGGCCGCGGUAUCCUGACCGUGCAAAGGUAGCAUAAUCAUUUGCCUCUUAAUUGGAGGCUAGUAUGAAAGGGUAAACGAAGGAGCAAUUGUCUCUUUUUUUAAAUGUAAAAUUGACCCCCAGGUGAAGAUGCCUGGCUAUAAUAAAAAGACAAAAAGACCCUAUUGAGUUUUAUAACCCUUCCAGUGUGCUAAUAACUAAUAAUAGAAGCACAUAUGAAAGCUUAUUUAGUUGGGGCAACUAAGGAACAAUUAAACCUUCCUUUAACUUAAAAGACAUGUGUGUCAUAAAGACCCGCACAGCGACCAAAAAAACAACACUACCAUAGGGAUAACAGGCUAAUUUCUUCAGAGAGCCCAAAUUGACGAAGAAGAUUGGCACCUCGAUGUUGGCUUAGGGCAUCCCUUCAGUGCAGAAGCUGAAAAGGGUUGGUUUGUUCACCCAUUAAAGCCCUACGUG